RNAcentral lists this ribosomal RNA (561 nucleotides) under uncultured bacterium. RNAcentral's name for it is "bacterial SSU rRNA". It matches the Rfam family "Bacterial small subunit ribosomal RNA", at positions 34 to 573 of the family's 1533-position model. The record is from RNAcentral.
CGCUGGCGGCGUGGAUAAGACAUGCAAGUCGAGCGAGAUUUUUUCUUGUAGCAAUACAGGGAAACGUCUAGCGGCGAACGGGUGCUUAACACGUGGGCAAUCUGCCGAGAAGUGGGGGAUAGCUCGCCGAAAGGCGAAUUAAUACCGCAUGUGAUUAGAGUGGACAUCCAUUCAAAAUCAAAGUCGGGGCAACCUGACGCUUUUUGAGGAGCCCGCGGCCUAUCAGCUAGUUGGUGAGGUAACGGCUCACCAAGGCUUUGACGGGUAGCUGGUCUGAGAGGACGACCAGCCACACUGGGACUGAGACACGGCCCAGACACCUACGGGUGGCAGCAGUCGAGAAUUUUUCUCAAUGGGGGAAACCCUGAAGGAGCGACGCCGCGUGGAGGAUGAAGGCCUUCGGGUUGUAAACUCCUGUCAUUUGGGAACAAGUCGUAAAUAUUAACUGUAUUUGCGUUGAUAGUACCAGAAGAGGAAGAGACGGCUAACUCUGUGCCAGCAGCCGCGGUAAUACAGAGGUCUCAAGCGUUGUUCGGAUUCAUUGGGCGUAAAGGGUGCGUA